UACGUAGGGGGCAAGCGUUGUCCGGAAUCAUUGGGCGUAAAGCGCGCGUAGGCGGCCCGGUAAGUCCGCUGUGAAAGUCAAAGGCUCAACCUUUGAAUGUCAGCGGAUACUGCCGGGCUAGAGUCCGGAAGAGGCGAGUGGAACUCCUGGUGUAGCGGUGGAAUGCGCAGAUAUCAGGAAGAACACCAACGGCGAAGGCAGCUCGCUGGGACGGAACUGACGCUGAGGCGCGAAAGCGUGGGGAGCGAACGGG
This 253-nucleotide ribosomal RNA is filed under the name uncultured bacterium. RNAcentral's name for it is "partial 16S ribosomal RNA". It matches the Rfam family "Bacterial small subunit ribosomal RNA", at positions 524 to 776 of the family's 1533-position model. The record is from RNAcentral.